Molecule: ribosomal RNA, 253 nt
Filed under: uncultured bacterium
Lineage: Bacteria
Description: partial 16S ribosomal RNA
Rfam family: Bacterial small subunit ribosomal RNA
Source: RNAcentral
CACGUAGGGGGCAAGCGUUGUCCGGAAUCAUUGGGCGUAAAGCGCGUGUAGGCGGCCAGAUAAGUCCGCUGUGAAAUCUCGAGGCUCAACUUCGAGCUGUCGGUGGAAACUGUCUGGCUAGAGUCCGGAAGAGGAGAAUGGAAUUCCUGGUGUAGCGGUGAAAUGCGCAGAUAUCAGGAAGAACACCCAUGGCGAAGGCAGCUCUCUGGGACGGUACUGACGCUGAGACGCGAAAGCGUGGGGAGCGAACAGG